UACAGAGGUCUCGAGCGUUGUUCGGAUUCAUUGGGCGUAAAGGGCGCGUAGGCGGCGGGGUAAGUCUGGUGUGAAAUCUCGGAGCUCAACUCCGAAAUUGCACUGGAUACUGCUCUGCUAGAGGGCUGGAGAGGAGAUCGGAAUUCACGGUGUAGCAGUGAAAUGCGUAGAUAUCGUGAGGAAGACCAGUUGCGAAGGCGGAUCUCUGGGCAGUUCCUGACACUGAGGCACGAAGGCCAGGGGAGCAAACGGG
RNAcentral lists this ribosomal RNA (253 nucleotides) under uncultured bacterium. RNAcentral describes it as "partial 16S ribosomal RNA". It matches the Rfam family "Bacterial small subunit ribosomal RNA", at positions 524 to 776 of the family's 1533-position model. The record is from RNAcentral.